RNAcentral lists this ribosomal RNA (847 nucleotides) under Rhodococcus (subgen. Prescottella) equi. RNAcentral describes it as "Prescottella equi bacterial SSU rRNA". It matches the Rfam family "Bacterial small subunit ribosomal RNA", at positions 8 to 864 of the family's 1533-position model. Lineage: Bacteria; Bacillati; Actinomycetota; Actinomycetes; Mycobacteriales; Nocardiaceae. The record is from RNAcentral.
AGAGUUUGAAUCUGGCUCAGGACGAACGCUGGCGGCGUGCUUAACACAUGCAAGUCGAACGGUAAGCCCCUUCGGGGGUACACGAGUGGCGAACGGGUGAGUAACACGUGGGUGAUCUGCCCUGCACUCUGGGAUAAGCCUGGGAAACUGGGUCUAAUACCGGAUAUGAGCUCCUGUCGCAUGGCGGGGGUUGGAAAGGUUUACUGGUGCAGGAUGGGCCCGCGGCCUAUCAGCUUGUUGGUGGGGUAAUGGCCUACCAAGGCGACGACGGGUAGCCGGCCUGAGAGGGCGACCGGCCACACUGGGACUGAGACACGGCCCAGACUCCUACGGGAGGCAGCAGUGGGGAAUAUUGCACAAUGGGCGAAAGCCUGAUGCAGCGACGCCGCGUGAGGGAUGACGGCCUUCGGGUUGUAAACCUCUUUCAGCAGGGACGAAGCGAGAGUGACGGUACCUGCAGAAGAAGCACCGGCCAACUACGUGCCAGCAGCCGCGGUAAUACGUAGGGUGCGAGCGUUGUCCGGAAUUACUGGGCGUAAAGAGCUCGUAGGCGGUUUGUCGCGUCGUCCGUGAAAACUUGGGGCUCAACCCCAAGCUUGCGGGCGAUACGGGCAGACUUGAGUACUGCAGGGGAGACUGGAAUUCCUGGUGUAGCGGUGAAAUGCGCAGAUAUCAGGAGGAACACCGGUGGCGAAGGCGGGUCUCUGGGCAGUAACUGACGCUGAGGAGCGAAAGCGUGGGUAGCGAACAGGAUUAGAUACCCUGGUAGUCCACGCCGUAAACGGUGGGCGCAUAGGUGUGGGUUUCCUUCCACGGGAUCCGUGCCGUAGCUAACCGCCAUUAAAAG